This 425-nucleotide ribosomal RNA is filed under the name uncultured bacterium. RNAcentral's name for it is "bacterial SSU rRNA". It matches the Rfam family "Bacterial small subunit ribosomal RNA", at positions 356 to 773 of the family's 1533-position model. The record is from RNAcentral.
CGGGAAUCUUCCGCAAUGGACGAAAGUCUGACGGAGCAACGCCGCGUGAGUGAUGAAGGCUUUCGGGUCGUAAAACUCUGUUGUUAGGGAAGAACAAGUACGAGAGUAACUGCUCGUACCUUGACGGUACCUAACCAGAAAGCCACGGCUAACUACGUGCCAGCAGCCGCGGUAAUACGUAGGUGGCAAGCGUUAUCCGGAAUUAUUGGGCGUAAAGCGCGCGCAGGCGGUUUCUUAAGUCUGAUGUGAAAGCCCACGGCUCAACCGUGGAGGGUCAUUGGAAACUGGGGAACUUGAGUGCAGAAGAGAAAAGCGGAAUUCCACGUGUAGCGGUGAAAUGCGUAGAGAUGUGGAGGAACACCAGUGGCGAAGGCGGCUUUUUGGUCUGUAACUGACGCUGAGGCGCGAAAGCGUGGGGAGCAAAC